This 316-nucleotide unclassified non-coding RNA is filed under the name Hevea brasiliensis (rubber tree). The record is from RNAcentral. Lineage: Eukaryota; Viridiplantae; Streptophyta; Magnoliopsida; Malpighiales; Euphorbiaceae.
CUGAGAAUGCUAUAACCGUAUAAGCUUAUCCAGCUUAAAUAUUCAAGCAAGGAAGGGUUUGAAGCUGCACCAAGACUUCCUCAAAUGAGGCCCUUUUAUGUAAAAGACGGUUUUAAGCCAAAAGCCAUUAACGAGGUAAGCAGCAGGACUAACAAUGGAGAACUCUUAUAAGCUAAGCUUAAAGCUUGUCUCUUAUGAGCUACGGGGUUAAUAAUCCGUGUUGGCCAGCGACUUGCAAUCUACUGAAUGUGAAAUGAAAAGAAAAACUCCUCUACCAAAAAUGGCUUGCAGUAUUUAUAGUUGUAGGAAGAAGUGG